Pteropus alecto (black flying fox) is the source of this 945-nucleotide long non-coding RNA. RefSeq lists it as uncharacterized. The record is from RefSeq and is a predicted model, not a curated record. Lineage: Eukaryota; Metazoa; Chordata; Mammalia; Chiroptera; Pteropodidae. The transcript is spliced from 3 exons.
CGCUCCAAUUGGGGGGCCGACAGGAUUGAGGCUGGGCGUGGCCCUAUCUGGCGACCCGGAAGAAUUCAUAAAAAAAGCGGAGCUGAUCCUGCAGCUUCCAGAAUAAGGACCCUGAGACUCACCGGCUUCAGCUCUGGAGCACAGGAGAAAGAACAGCAGCGGGAGAGGAAGACCUGUCUUUUGAUGAAUAGUUCUCCCAGAGCUGGCAACCAUACUCUGCAUUCUACCAUCAGCAGAAUAGAGGAGAAUCUACAGCUGGAGAAGGCCUGUCCUGUAGCCCUGCACCAGUUGGACCAAAAAGCAGAGGUGUAAACAAAUGAAGGACAUCCGUUUUCACUCAUAUAAUGAGAAGCGAAGAGGUAGGUAGUCCAGGGCAAGGAUGAUAGUCCCACAACAUCAUUAAGGUUCACAUCCACCAAGUCUCAAGAUUUAUUUCACUUGCACUGGCCGAAGGCAAGAGGAUGGAAUAGAGACAGCUCCAGCUCCAGUCAGGUGACCAAUUUCAGAAAUGAGGACUGAGCUAUCUGCUUAUAUUUCCUUCCUUGCUCUGUGAUGUGUGUAUUUGCAUAUUUUAACAGAUUUCCUGUUUCUCUCUUUUCUGCCUUCUGCUAUUUUAUAUGUGGUAUGUUGUUGGUGGUGAAGUUUACAGUUUAGUCUACAGUUUAUAAAAUACCUGUUUGGGAAUGUGACUAACUUAGAGGUGGAAUGGGCAUCACCGAGACAUCCCAUUCUCGGAGUCGAAAGCAGUAACAGAUGAGAUUGGGUUAUUUCAGUUCCGGGGAGAGUUAAGCCUCAUCUUCCUUUUACAAAAGAUAGUGGGCAGCCAAAUGAUGGAUUGUAGUGGACAUUUGCCAUGUACGUGGCAGAUCCUUGGUGUCUUUUGAGUGCCCGUGUUAAGGGAAUGCCCAUUUCUUAUGACUCUUGCCUUCCUAAGGUAGAGUUCAC